GGGUGAGUAACACGUAUCCAACCUGCCGAUGACUCGGGGAUAGCCUUUCGAAAGAAAGAUUAAUACCCGAUGGCAUAGUUCUUCCGCAUGGUAGAACUAUUAAAGAAUUUCGGUCAUCGAUGGGGAUGCGUUCCAUUAGCUUGUUGGCGGGGUAACGGCCCACCAAGGCAUCGAUGGAUAGGGGUUCUGAGAGGAAGGUCCCCCACAUUGGAACUGAGACACGGUCCAAACUCCUACGGGAGGCAGCAGUGAGGAAUAUUGGUCAAUGGGCGCUAGCCUGAACCAGCCAAGUAGCGUGAAGGAUGACUGCCCUAUGGGUUGUAAACUUCUUUUAUAUGGGAAUAAAGUGCAGUAUGUAUACUGCUUUGCAUGUACCUUAUGAAUAAGGAUCGGCUAACUCCGUGCCAGCAGCCGCGGUAAUACGGAGGAUCCGAGCGUUAUCCGGAUUUAUUGGGUUUAAAGGGAGCGUAGGCGGGUUGUUAAGUCAGUUGUGAAAGUUUGCGGCUCAACCGUAAAAUUGCAGUUGAUACUGGCAUCCUUGAGUACAGUAGAGGUAGGCGGAAUUCGUGGUGUAGCGGUGAAAUGCUUAGAUAUCACGAAGAACUCCGAUUGCGAAGGCAGCCUGCUGGACUGUAACUGACGCUGAUGCUCGAAAGUGUGGGUAUCAAACAGGAUUAGAUACCCUGGUAGUCCACACAGUAAACGAU
RNAcentral lists this ribosomal RNA (707 nucleotides) under uncultured bacterium. RNAcentral describes it as "bacterial SSU rRNA". It matches the Rfam family "Bacterial small subunit ribosomal RNA", at positions 104 to 810 of the family's 1533-position model. The record is from RNAcentral.